UGAAAUGAAUUGGCUUGCUGUUUUGAACCUAUCAAACAACAAUUUAUCUGGGAAAAUCCCAUCGGGAACACAGCUCCAAAGUUUUGAUGCCUCUGCAUAUGAUGGGAAUCCAUUUCUUUGUGGAAGUCCGCUGCAAAGACUUUGUCCAGACGAAAAAGGAUCAAAAGCCGCAUCGAUUGAGGAAGAGCAAGACGAUUCAUUUUUGUCCCAAGGAUUCUACAUAAGCAUGGGUUUGGGAUUUUUUACAGGAUUUUGGGCCAUAUUCGGUUCAUUGCUUAUAUCCCGUUCUUGGAGGAAUGCUUACUUCACCUUCCUAAAUAAUUUGUAUGAGAGGAUUGUUGUGCUUACACUAAUCAACUUAGCAAGGUGUCGUCGCAGGCUACUUAGAACAUAAUUGUGGAGCCUCAUCGUAGGAAGCUGGAAGCUCGGAAGUGGAAGCAACUAGUGAACAGAUAUAAAUCAUCUUUAUUUUGUGGUUUCACUGAUAAACAACUGUGACUCUCAAUCUCUCAUGUUGUUUUAUUCUGUUACCUACUCUUAAUUUGUGCUGUGAACCUUUUCUUUUCAUCUAUGUGAUGAAUGAAGUUCCUUUGUUUUAUGAAGCA
Molecule: long non-coding RNA, 605 nt
Organism: Neltuma alba
Lineage: Eukaryota; Viridiplantae; Streptophyta; Magnoliopsida; Fabales; Fabaceae
Exons: 2
Source: RefSeq, a predicted model, not a curated record